Molecule: ribosomal RNA, 327 nt
Filed under: Triticum aestivum (bread wheat)
Lineage: Eukaryota; Viridiplantae; Streptophyta; Magnoliopsida; Poales; Poaceae
Description: partial small subunit ribosomal RNA
Source: RNAcentral
AUGUACAAACUGCUCAUUGAUAGUGACUUGAAAGGAAUUUUUCUCUCAACAGCACCAGGCCGCUGGGUGCAGGCGUGCCGCACCGUGAUGAGUGUAGAAGGAUCCAGCUGGGAGCGUUUUGGCGCGCGUCCGUACAUGGCGAAUCAAGAAACAUCAGCCGUUGGAUCAUUUGAGCUUUGUAUUGAUGAAGAAUGGAGAUUCACCCUGUGUAACAAAUCAACGGCUAACAGUUUGCUUCUACAAUGUUCUGGAUGCCUAGCCCAAGUUCAAAAAUUGCAGUACUAUAGCAGUAGAGAUAGAGAUAUCUAUAUCUAUACCACUAUAUAG